RNAcentral lists this ribosomal RNA (322 nucleotides) under uncultured eukaryote. RNAcentral's name for it is "partial 18S ribosomal RNA". It matches the Rfam family "Eukaryotic small subunit ribosomal RNA", at positions 1470 to 1796 of the family's 1831-position model. The record is from RNAcentral.
CCCUUAGAUGUUCUGGGCCGCACGCGUGCUACACUGAGUGGAUCAGCGGGUCAGGUUGCGCGAAAGUGUUUCCUAAUCUUGAAAUCCGCUCGUGAUGGGGAUUGACGGUUGCAAUUUUCCGUCAUGAACGAGGAAUACCUUGUAAGCGCGGGUCAUCAUCCCGCGCUGAAUACGUCCCUGCCCUUUGUACACACCGCCCGUCGCUCCUACCGAUUGAGUGGUCCGGUGAGGCUUUGGGAUCUGAGCAAAGAGAGCGUUUCGCUCGUUUUGCCCGGAAAACUCAGUCGAACCUUAUCAUUUAGAGGAAGGAGAAGUCGUGACA